This 443-nucleotide ribosomal RNA is filed under the name uncultured bacterium. RNAcentral's name for it is "partial 16S ribosomal RNA". It matches the Rfam family "Bacterial small subunit ribosomal RNA", at positions 338 to 795 of the family's 1533-position model. The record is from RNAcentral.
CCUACGGGUGGCAGCAGUGGGGAAUAUUGGGCAAUGGGCGCACGCCUGACCCAGCAACGCCGCGUGAAGGAUGAAGGCUUUCGGGUUGUAAACUUCUUUUGUUAGGGACGUAGCAUGUGUCGGUACCUGACGAAUAAGCCACGGCUAACUACGUGCCAGCAGCCGCGGCUAUACGUAGGUGGCAAGCGUUAUCCGGAUGUACUGGGUGUAAAGGGCGUGUAGGCGGGACUGCAAGUCAGAUGUGAAAACCACGGGCUCAACCUGUGACCUGGAUUUGAAACUGUAGUUCUUGAGUACUGGAGAGGCAGACGGAAUUCCUAGUGUAGCGGUGAAAUGCGUAGAUAUUAGGAGGAACACCAGUGGCGAAGGCGGUCUGCUGGACAGCAACUGACGCUGAGGCGCGAAAGCGUGGGGAGCAAACAGGAUUAGAUACCCCGGUAGUC